RNAcentral lists this ribosomal RNA (497 nucleotides) under uncultured bacterium. Its description in RNAcentral is "partial 16S ribosomal RNA". It matches the Rfam family "Bacterial small subunit ribosomal RNA", at positions 28 to 507 of the family's 1533-position model. The record is from RNAcentral.
GAUGAACGCUGGCGGCGUGCCUAAUACAUGCAAGUCGAGCGAAGAGACGAGGUGUUUGCUCCUCCGACGUUAGCGGCGGACGGGUGAGUAACAUGUGGAUAACCUAGCUAUAAGACUGGGAUAACAUCGGGAAACCGGAGCUAAUACCGGAUAAUAUAUUGAACCGCAUGGUUCACUAGUGAAAGACGGUUUUGCUGGCACUUAUAGAUGGAUCCGCGCAUCAUUAGCAAGUUGGUAAGGUAACGGCUUACCAAGGCAACGAUGGUUAGCCGCCCUCAGGGGGUCAUCGGCUACCCGGUUAGUGAGGCUCGGCCCCGACUCCGACGGUGGGCCGCGGUACGGACUCUUCCGCGAUGGAGCAGUGCCUGACGGUGGACCACCGCGUCAGUCAUGAAGUUCCUUGGCUCGUUAAGCUCUGUUAUUCGUAAAGUUCAAAUGUGUAAGUAACUAUGCACGUCUUGACGGUACCUACACAGAAAGCCACGGCUAACUCCGUG